Molecule: ribosomal RNA, 497 nt
Filed under: uncultured bacterium
Lineage: Bacteria
Description: partial 16S ribosomal RNA
Rfam family: Bacterial small subunit ribosomal RNA
Source: RNAcentral
GAUGAACGCUGGCGGCGUGCCUAAUACAUGCAAGUCGAGCGAACGGACGAGAAGCUUGCUUCUCUGAUGUUAGCGGCGGACGGGUGAGUAACACGUGGAUAACCUACCUAUAAGACUGGGAUAACUUCGGGAAACCGGAGCUAAUACCGGAUAAUAUUUUGAACCGCAUGGUUCAAAAGUGAAAGGCGGUCUUGCUGUCACUUAUAGAUGGAUCCGCGCUGCAUUAGCUAGUUGGUAAGGUAACGGCUUACCAAGGCAACGAUGCAUAGCCGACCUGAGAGGGUGAUCGGCCACACUGGAACUGAGACACGGUCCAGACUCCUACGGGAGGCAGCAGUAGGGAAUCUUCCGCAAUGGGCGAAAGCCUGACGGAGCAACGCCGCGUGAGUGAUGAAGGUCUUCGGAUCGUAAAACUCUGUUAUUAGGGAAGAACAUAUGUGUAAGUAACUGUGCACAUCUUGAAGGUACCUAAUCAGAAAGCCACGGCUAACUACGUG